GUUAGUGUAGUGAACACGCCAGAACAGGGGUGUGGAAGCCAAGUGUUCUCUAUUCCAGCUAUGGAAAGUUCAAUGGCAGGUGUGGUCCGAAGCCAACCAGAGGACGCAGGAGAUUGGAGAAGAGCUCUCCUUCCGUUCAGGCUCACGGCAAAGCACGUUGCCUUCUUUCUUUUGCAAAAUAACCACAGGAUACUUCUCAGAGAGAUGCUACGGAGAUGCUUCAGCCUUGAACACCAUGUUCUAAAGCUCUCCAUUGCUGAAGAAAAGGAUUUCCACUCAAUGAAAUCAUGACGCAGAAGAUUAUGCAGUUUGAGUCUCAAGAUGUAAAAGGUCUGAAGAGACUGCAUAUAGGUAGGAACUAACUGAAAAAUAAGAAGAAGGCCUGUGCUAUGAUAUACGUUGAUACAGUGGCAGUCAGGUUAUUUCUUUUCCUUUGUUCCUUUGUUCCUUUGUGUGUGUGCCCUGAAUGAUACAACUUAUUUUCAAUAGAAAUAAAUCAUGCAUCUUCAAAUUGGAUGUGGCUAACUGGGUGUAGAGGGUUUUGGUCCAUGAGUAGCACACAGUCUAACAUCUGCUGUUACACUUUGUUUACUUAGAAUAUAAAUUAAAUUCCUGAGCUGGUACACAAGCCAGUGUAUAGACAGCAGGCUAAAUUUGUUACGGUUGAAAAAAGUGAAACAUGGUGUAUCUUCAAAACAGUUAUUAAGAUGUAAAUUUGGG
Molecule: long non-coding RNA, 720 nt
Filed under: Homo sapiens (human)
Lineage: Eukaryota; Metazoa; Chordata; Mammalia; Primates; Hominidae
Description: HSALNT0337025
Source: RNAcentral